RNAcentral lists this ribosomal RNA (468 nucleotides) under uncultured bacterium. RNAcentral describes it as "partial 16S ribosomal RNA". It matches the Rfam family "Bacterial small subunit ribosomal RNA", at positions 28 to 507 of the family's 1533-position model. The record is from RNAcentral.
GACGAACGCUGGCGGCGUGCUUAACACAUGCAAGUCGAACGGAAAGGCCCUGCUUUUGUGGGGUGCUCGAGUGGCGAACGGGUGAGUAACACGUGAGUAACCUGCCCUUGACUUUGGGAUAACUUCAGGAAACUGGGGCUAAUAACGGAUAGGAGCUCCUGCUGCAUGGGGGGGGUUGGAAAGUUUCGGCGGUUGGGGAUGGACUCGCGGCUUAUCAGCGUGUUGGUGGGGUAGUGGCUUACCAAGGCUUUGACGGGUAGCCGGCCUGAGAGGGUGACCGGCCACAUUGGGACUGAGAUACGGCCCAGACUCCUACGGGAGGCAGCAGUGGGGAAUAUUGCACAAUGGGCGGAAGCCUGAUGCAGCAACGCCGCGUGCGGGAUGACGGCCUUCGGGUUGUAAACCGCUUUCGCCUGUGACGAAGCGUGAGUGACGGUAAUGGGUAAAGAAGCACCGGCUAACUACGUG